Zingiber officinale is the source of this 377-nucleotide long non-coding RNA. RefSeq lists it as uncharacterized. The transcript has 4 exons. NCBI's taxonomy places the organism in Eukaryota, Viridiplantae, Streptophyta, Magnoliopsida, Zingiberales, Zingiberaceae. The record is from RefSeq and is a predicted model, not a curated record.
CCGGCUUGAAGAUGACCUAGGGUUUCGAAGGUCACGGAUUUGGAGAGGUUGGAAUCAGGGAGGUGUUGUUGGAUUAGGGGAAGGAAUCGGAUCAGACUCGUGCUAGGUUUUCCCUUGAUCGGAUCAGUGGACCUCCACCUCCUUGCUGUUGAUUGAGGUCUCGAAUUGAAGUGAGGGGAGGUGAGGUUCCAUUCUUGUUGUGGAAUUGUGUUUGGUUCCGGCAGUAACAAUCACCUCAAUCCAGCAUCAACAGUAGGUUCGAUCUGCUCUGUUCUAUUUGUGAACUUUCUGAUUUCGGCAGUAAACCAUCCAGCAACAACAACAACUGGAUUUGAGGACUCUGAUUCGAGACGGGCGUCUCGACUUCGGACUUUGGA